Molecule: ribosomal RNA, 489 nt
Filed under: uncultured bacterium
Lineage: Bacteria
Description: bacterial SSU rRNA
Rfam family: Bacterial small subunit ribosomal RNA
Source: RNAcentral
AACGAACGCUGGCGGCGUGUCUUAAGCAUGCAAGUCGAGCGGCAAGCAGUAGCAAUACUGCCUAGAGCGGCGGACUGGUGAGUAACGCGUGGGUGAUCUGCCCUUGGGAUGGGGAUAGCCGUUAGAAAUAGCGGGUAAUACCGAAUGUGAUCGUAGGGUUGCGGCCUUACGAUGAAAGGCGCUCCGGCGCCGCCCGAGGAUGAGCCUGCGUCUCAUUAGCUAGUUGGUGGGGUAAAAGCCUACCAAGGCGAUGAUGAGUAGCCGGCCUGAGAGGGUGUACGGCCACACUGGGACUGAGAUACGGCCCAGACUCCUACGGGAGGCAGCAGCUAAGAUAUUCCGCAAUGGACGAAAGUCUGACGGAGCGACGCCGCGUGGAUGAUGAAGGCCGUGAGGUUGUAAAUCCUUUUGCUGGGGAAGAAUAACCAUGGGAGGGAAUGCCCGUGGGAUGACAUGAACCGGCGAAUAAGCCCCGGCUAACUACGUGCC